CUGACUCAGUUUAUGAAGGACCGGGCUUCCCCUGUCUCGCUCGUUGAUCUCGUACACGUGUAACUCUUGAACUUUUGCUGUGAAAAAGAUACUGAACACCAGAGAAAUCUUCGACCCAACGGCGGAGGUAAGGUUUGCUCGAUGCUCUAGUUUAGUCUCUCCAAAGCUCCCGGGCCCACCACAGACUCAAGCCGAUACCGAGAACGUGUCCACCAUUGAGUGACGAGAAGUUCUCUGUCAAAUCAUGUGUCUGCAUGUGCAAUGGUGCUCAUUGAAGUGGAAAAGCCAAGGGGUGGUGGCUGUCGUCGAACGGAGGCCGGAGUCAUAGAGACUGUGGUGUUGUGUUGUUGGUGGCUUGACCGUUGAUGGAGGAGAAGACCAAAUAUCUCAGUGGUGCUACGAACUUCACGUCAAAGAAUAAGCAUGUUUUUUCAAGGGAGGAAGGUUGGAUUUCGCAUUGGAAGAAUCUGGGUGUUUCAACAUUAAGGAGGAAGUUAUUUGAGGUUUUUAUUCCAUAUGCUACUGGUUGACAUUGGAUUGAUUUAUUAGAAGUUAUUGAUUUUAUUCGAAAUUGUAAUUUGGUUUAGAAAGUGGGUUCCA
This is a long non-coding RNA of Humulus lupulus (European hop), 600 nucleotides long. RefSeq lists it as uncharacterized. The record is from RefSeq and is a predicted model, not a curated record. Lineage: Eukaryota; Viridiplantae; Streptophyta; Magnoliopsida; Rosales; Cannabaceae. The transcript has 2 exons.